This is a long non-coding RNA of Pan troglodytes (chimpanzee), 629 nucleotides long. RefSeq lists it as uncharacterized. Lineage: Eukaryota; Metazoa; Chordata; Mammalia; Primates; Hominidae. The transcript is spliced from 3 exons. The record is from RefSeq and is a predicted model, not a curated record.
UCUGGCCACUGGCUCAGGCCACAGCGGACACCCUGUUCACAGCCUGCAUCACCCUCCUGAGACAGAACCUUCUCCAGGUGUUUGCCUUUGGGCAGGUCCCAAGGUACCACCUGGAGCUGCUGGAAAGGGUAGUCCUGACAGCAACCCUCUGGUGACCGGUCCUUGCUAGCUCCUCCCCCGACCUCCCUGUAAUGCUGGGUGCAGAGGGAUGCACCAGGGAGCUGCGUGUCGCAGAUAGACCAAUUCCACAGCAGAGGAAUCUAUUUCAACGUUGUAUCAGACUCCAGUCUAGGAAGCAGACCACGCUGAUCACCCCUCUGCUCACUGAGAUAAAUGCAUAUUCUGAUGGCCCCUUUGGAGAAGCUAAUCAGCAACUCAAAAGAAUGCAACCAUUUGUCUCUUAUCUACCUAUGACCUGGAAGCCCCCUCCCUGCUUCAAGUUAUUCUGCCUUUCCGGAGGGAACCAAUGUUCAUCUUACAUAUGUUGAUUGAUGUUUCAUGUCUCCCUAAAAUGUAUAAAAGCAAGCUGUGCUCCAACCACCUUGGGCACAUGUCGUCAGGAUUUCCUGAGGCUGUAUCACAGGCGUGCGUCCUUAGCUUUGGUAAAAUAAACUUCCUAAAUUGAUUGA